AAAUGUGGUCAUAGAAAGGGCAAGAGUUCCUCACCAGACACAAGUAAGCUGUUGCUUAAUUUUGUCUUGCCACCUGAGCUCAUACUCCAACUGAAAGCAAACCAGAGGGAGAGGAAGAGAGAGGUGGAGGCUGCAGAAGUGGCAUUCUGUCCUGUGUAUUUGGAGCAUUGUGACUGAAGAGAACAAAGUUAUCCAGUUCUGGCUGACACUAAAGGGAAAGUCUCUUCUCGGAAGACAUAUCAGGGAUCUCAGGAGGAAGCCUGUUGUCCUUAUUCCUCCAGCCAAGCUCUGUAGUUGGAGGAACUCUGGAUAACUUCAUCAAGGGCCCAUGAAUGAAUCACACAUCAAAAGCAUCCAAAGCAGCUGGAAGUACCUGAGGCCAUGUGCAUAAAGUGUAAAAAGCACAUAACCCACUUUGAGAAGGUGUUCAUCACUUAAUGGAUUCUCUACCUGAAGAAAAGCAGAUCACGAACUCGGCAGCUUUAGGUGUCAGAAAGGCAGUUUCCAUUCUAAGCGGAAUGCAAGUGUUAUCUUAAAAAGUAUCUUAGAAGCACUUUCCCUCCCUUUGACCCAUAUAAAAUCUUUGGAAACCUUGUUAAAUGUCCAAGAAAUUGCAAUGUUUUUCAAAUGGCUAAGAUAGUUAAAUUCCAUUCUGGUGACCUUCUACACUGUAAGCAGUGUGUGUAAUCUUAAAUUUGAAGAGGAAUUCUCUAAGGAAAACCUCAUUAAUGUGUUCUGUAAGUGCAUGCAGUUUUGCAAGUGCAUUAGCAUGGUCACAUAGGAGUGUCAUAAUGUGUCACGGAGUUUGGCAUGAUGCAUCUGAUCUGAUCUGGCUGUCAGGAGGUGAUCUGGAGGAUGACAGAUAGAACUCCAGGACAAGCUGUCGGAGCACGUUGUCCAGGGAAGGCAGGGGAAAUAAGCGGGAAGUUUCUUCCUCGUCUAUUCUCAGCCACUGUUUGACAUGCCAUGAAAUGUAAGCAUAAUUCCCUUCUCUAAUAAAACAUUUAAUGUUUUUAUAAUCUGUCAUUGAUUGCCAAAUCAUAAUGGUAAGAUAUCUGUAGAUGAUCCAUGGAAUCACACCACUUUUAUAGUGUUUUCAAUUACAAUUUUAUUAAAGAGUGAAAGAUGUUUUGUGAGAAGUAUUGAGAAAUAGCUAUUCCAGAACAACUGGGAAGCUGGUUUUCACAGUAUUCUAGAUUCGUCUUCCAACCGUAUAAAAGCCAGGGGUUCCACUAGUUAAUUAUGUGCUGUUACACUUUAGUUUCAUUAAAAGUCAGUUAUAAUACAGACUAAAUACAGAGUGCCUGUUUUCUCUGUAUCUUUCAUUAUUUAACUUCCAUUUGCUGAAUACCCUCUUACUCAACAAUUCUCUAAGCUCUGUGGUCCCUUUCAUGACCGUCUCUCCCCAUCUAGAAAUCUUUCAGACUUCUAAUCAUUUGGUUGUGGUUCUGACCCUCUUUUUGAGAAAAGGUCCCAUAAGUUGUCCUGAAGAAAAGGUUUUGAAGGGUAUAUCCCUCUCUAAGGUACCAGCAGUACAGCAUGUUACUCUUGUAUAAAACUCUCAGAGUAGAGGUAUCUCUAAAACACUGUAGCUUUCCACUGCUUAAGUAUUCCUCUCACUAGGACUUACUGCCAUUGUUAUUUUCCCUUACUGUUUAAUUCUAAGAGCACAGUGAUAUGUGAUAUGUAUUUGUCUUGCUCUGUCCUCAAGGACAUACUAAUGUGCUGCUGGGUUAGGAAUACUUUCUUUAAAAGUAUUCAGAUGCUGGAAGACUUUUUUUCAGGGUAGCUGCAACCUGAGAACAUCUUUCUGUAGGGAAGAGAACAGUUCAGAAACUUCUUAACUGUUUAAAUGCA
Molecule: long non-coding RNA, 1857 nt
Organism: Neopsephotus bourkii (Bourke's parrot)
Lineage: Eukaryota; Metazoa; Chordata; Aves; Psittaciformes; Psittacidae
Exons: 4
Source: RefSeq, a predicted model, not a curated record